UACGGGGGGGGCAAGCGUUGUUCGGAAUUACUGGGCGUAAAGGGCUCGUAGGCGGCCAACUAAGUCGGAUGUGAAAUCCCCAGGCUUAACCUGGGAACUGCAUCCGAUACUGGAUGGCUUGAAUCCGGGAGAGGGAUGCAGAAUUCCAGGUGUAGCGGUGAAAUGCGUAGAUAUCGUAAGGAAGGCCGGUGGCGAAAGCGAGCCUCUGGACAGUUACUGACGCUGAUGCACGAAGGCCAGGGGAGCAAACGGG
Molecule: ribosomal RNA, 253 nt
Filed under: uncultured bacterium
Lineage: Bacteria
Description: partial 16S ribosomal RNA
Rfam family: Bacterial small subunit ribosomal RNA
Source: RNAcentral